Molecule: long non-coding RNA, 848 nt
Organism: Mirounga angustirostris (Northern elephant seal)
Lineage: Eukaryota; Metazoa; Chordata; Mammalia; Carnivora; Phocidae
Exons: 3
Source: RefSeq, a predicted model, not a curated record
CCCGAGUCCUAAUCUCCUCGCGGCAGCCCCGCGGCUGGGGGGCGGGGUGCCUGGUUCCCGACCGCUCUAGGCUCCAGCCUGGGGGCGGAAAGAGGGAUCCUGGAGGUUUUCAAGAGGAGGCAUGAGCAGCUCCUAAGCCGAGAGAUAGUUUGCCCUUCAAUUCUGGACACCCAAAAGAAGCUUAUCUUGCAGAACAAGAUUUCUCCACAUCGUAGAGAUUGUGUGGGAACGUGAACCAAAGCCCUUAGGAUUGGACCAGGAAAUCCAAAAUCCAACAAGUCCAAAGGGCAAAGGUGAGCCCCAAAGUGGAAGGAGAAUGGCAAGAUCCAGGGACUUGGCAUACAUGCAAGAGAAACAGAGCAAGAUGAGAGGCAAAGGAGAAUGUGCCCUCAAAAUUUCAGUUAGGUGUCUAUGGCUUGAUGCAUAUCACAUCGACGAACUGGGCUGGCUCAAAGGUACUGGGUUGGGACUGAAACCAAACCUGUUCUAGCAAGCUUUUGAGAAAGAAACAGGGAUCUGCUAGGGGCACUGUCUAUACUCAACCCUUUCAUCAUUGUAGCUGGGGAAACAGACUCAUCAGCACCAUAUGGAUUCACUUUUUCUCCCUGACUGAUGGUUCCUUUGCUUCCCACACAGGCUAAUUUAGACUGGAAAGAAUCUAUAAUGUGGGAGGUCUUUAUUACUAAAAAUUAGAUCCAAUAAAAUGCAGAUGUCCUGACGGUAUCCACAAACAAGCUGUCUUUGAAUAAAUAACCAACUGGAGUAAAUGUAUUUAUGCAUCUAUAUUAGAACAACUGGCAGAUUUAAAACUGAAGAUCUGUUUAAGAUCACAAUUAAGGAAAAUACAA